Molecule: transfer RNA, 73 nt
Filed under: Mesobacillus zeae
Lineage: Bacteria; Bacillati; Bacillota; Bacilli; Caryophanales; Bacillaceae
Also listed under: 2 other names
Rfam family: tRNA
About the family: Transfer RNA (tRNA) molecules are approximately 80 nucleotides in length. Their secondary structure includes four short double-helical elements and three loops (D, anti-codon, and T loops). Further hydrogen bonds mediate the characteristic L-shaped molecular structure. tRNAs have two regions of fundamental functional importance: the anti-codon, which is responsible for specific mRNA codon recognition, and the 3' end, to which the tRNAs corresponding amino acid is attached (by aminoacyl-tRNA synthetases). tRNAs cope with the degeneracy of the genetic code in two manners: having more than one tRNA (with a specific anti-codon) for a particular amino acid; and 'wobble' base-pairing, i.e. permitting non-standard base-pairing at the 3rd anti-codon position.
Source: Rfam by way of RNAcentral
GCCGGUGUAGCUCAAUUGGUAGAGCAACUGACUUGUAAUCAGUAGGUUGAGGGUUCAAUUCCUUUCGCCGGCA